This 252-nucleotide ribosomal RNA is filed under the name uncultured bacterium. RNAcentral's name for it is "partial 16S ribosomal RNA". It matches the Rfam family "Bacterial small subunit ribosomal RNA", at positions 524 to 776 of the family's 1533-position model. The record is from RNAcentral.
UACGUAGGGGGCAAGCGUUAUCCGGAUUUAUUGGGCGUAAAGCGAGCGCAGGUGGUUUAUUAAGUCUGGUGUAAAAGGCAGUGGCUCAACCAUUGUAUGCAUUGGAAACCGGUAGACUUGAGUGCAGGAGAGGAGAGUGGAAUUCCAUGUGUAGCGGUGAAAUGCGUAGAUAUAUGGAGGAACACCGGUGGCGAAAGCGGCUCUCUGGCCUGUAACUGACACUGAGGCUCGAAAGCGUGGGGAGCAAACAGG